CACGUAAUUAGCCGGACCUUAUUCGUAUAGUACUGUCAUUUUCUUCCUAUACAAAAGAUUUUUACAAUCCGAAGACUUUCUAAAUCACGCGGCGUCGCUGCAUCAGGGUUUCCCCCAUUGUGCAAAAUUCCCCCACUGCUGCCUCCCGUAGGAGUUUGGGCCGUGUCUCAGUCCCAAUGUGGCCGUACACUCUCUCAAGCCGGCUACUGAUCGUUGCCUUGGUGAGCUUUUAUCUCACCAACUAGCUAAUCAGACGCAAGUCCAUCUUACACCGAUAAAUCUUUGGUAAAGCUACCAUGCGGUUUCUUUACUUCAUAGGGUAUUAUUCGUCGUUUCCAACGGCUAUCCCCUUGUGCAAGGCAGGUUACUCACGUGUUACUCACCCGUCCGCCACUAUCCACUUAGUCAUCAUCCCGAAGGAACCUGUUAAAGCUUCAUCGUUCGACUUGCAUGUGUUAUGCACGCGCCAGCGUAUCCGACGCAGGAUCAACUC
This 493-nucleotide ribosomal RNA is filed under the name uncultured Anaerococcus sp. Its description in RNAcentral is "partial 16S ribosomal RNA". Lineage: Bacteria; Bacillati; Bacillota; Tissierellia; Tissierellales; Peptoniphilaceae. The record is from RNAcentral.